This 69-nucleotide transfer RNA is filed under the name Ictidomys tridecemlineatus (thirteen-lined ground squirrel). RNAcentral's name for it is "Spermophilus tridecemlineatus (thirteen-lined ground squirrel) tRNA". It matches the Rfam family "tRNA". Rfam says of the family: Transfer RNA (tRNA) molecules are approximately 80 nucleotides in length. Their secondary structure includes four short double-helical elements and three loops (D, anti-codon, and T loops). The record is from Rfam by way of RNAcentral. Lineage: Eukaryota; Metazoa; Chordata; Mammalia; Rodentia; Sciuridae.
GGGGUUUUAGCUCAGCGGUAGAGCUCUUGCCUUGUACAUGCAAGAGCCUGAGUUCAAUCCUCAGCACCA